RNAcentral lists this ribosomal RNA (253 nucleotides) under uncultured bacterium. RNAcentral describes it as "partial 16S ribosomal RNA". It matches the Rfam family "Bacterial small subunit ribosomal RNA", at positions 524 to 776 of the family's 1533-position model. The record is from RNAcentral.
UACGAAGGGGGCUAGCGUUGUUCGGAAUCACUGGGCGUAAAGCGUACGUAGGCGGACCGUUAAGUCGGGGGUGAAAUCCCAGGGCUCAACCCUGGAACUGCCUUCGAUACUGGCGGUCUGGAGUCCGGGAGAGGUGAGUGGAACUCCUAGUGUAGAGGUGAAAUUCGUAGAUAUUAGGAAGAACACCAGUGGCGAAGGCGGCUCACUGGCCCGGUACUGACGCUGAGGUACGAAGGCGUGGGGAGCAAACAGG